This 452-nucleotide ribosomal RNA is filed under the name uncultured bacterium. Its description in RNAcentral is "bacterial SSU rRNA". It matches the Rfam family "Bacterial small subunit ribosomal RNA", at positions 10 to 507 of the family's 1533-position model. The record is from RNAcentral.
AGUUUGAUCAUGGCANAGAACGAACGCUGGCGGCAGGCCUAACACAUGCAAGUCGAGCGCCCCGGCAAGGGGGAGCGGCGGACGGGUGAGUAACGCGUGGGAACGUACCCUUUGCUACGGAAUAGCCUCGGGAAACUGGGAGUAAUACCGUAUGUGCCCUUCGGGGGGAAAGAUUUAUCGGCAAAGGAUCGGCCCGCGUUGGAUUAGGUAGUUGGUGGGGUAAUGGCCUACCAAGCCGACGAUCCAUAGCUGGUUUGAGAGGAUGAUCAGCCACACUAGGACUGAGACACGGCCCAGACUCCUACGGGAGGCAGCAGUGGGGAAUCUUAGACAAUGGGCGCAAGCCUGAUCUAGCCAUGCCGCGUGAUCGAUGAAGGCCUUAGGGUUGUAAAGAUCUUUCAGUGGGGAAGAUAAUGACUGUACCCACAGAAGAAGCCCCGGCUAACUCCGUG